CAGGGUCAGUGCCAGGCCAAGGGGAACCCCAAGUUGAAAUGGGGCUACAGCCCACCCUCCUUGCCGGAUUCUCCCCCACUGCCAAACUGGGAAGUUGUGGUUAUUUUAUUCAGAAAGGAGGCGCUCUGGCGCUUUUCAAUUCACUAAAAAAUGGCACAGCGAGUUAACGGCAGGGCUUCCAGACUUCCGUGUGUGUGGCUGGUCUGGGACAGGCCCCCGGGCAUGAUUCUUCUUGUUAUUUCGAGAGCCCUUCGGCUUGAAGCUGAAGGUUCUGGAGUCGGCCUUGGAGAAUUGAUGCAACACCCCAGAACACGCUAGAACAAGCUAGAUGGCAGCACGUCAGUAUUCACGGCCCUCUCCCAGCUGUAGGGGAGCGUUACAGGGGCACCAUGCCCUUGUCCGGCUUCGGAAAAGGAGUGGAGGACGCUCAGGUCUCAAAAGGCCACUCGACCCGCAGUGACGGUUGUAGCUGGGUGCUCUGUGUCAGGGGAAAGGAGUAUUUAAAUGGAUGCUCAGCAGCUCCUCUCUCCUCACAGUUCCUCAAAGAGGAUGAAUUCAGUCAGCCCUUUGGCUCACAGGAAAACAAAAAUUGAUGGCUUUCAAAGAGACAGCCAGUAAGCGCGCUUUGGGAAGAAGCGAGGUGUUGAAUGGGAAGCCAACCCUUCACAAUUGUGACUAACAUCCCCGUCCCUAUCAUCGUCGUGACUUUAUUCUAUUAUUUAUAGGACGGGAGAAGGUACCAGACACAUCAAAGAUGGAAGCUAUCAAACACACCAUUCUGGGCUUAGAAAAUCACCCCAGUCAUAGCUCCUGAGGAGAGAAGUGUUCCCAGGCUGUUCCUCAUCCGGACUUGGCUGUGUUUUUACCACGUCCUGCACACUCUCUUGGCCACGUGUGGCUGGAAGGAGCCGAUGCCUCACCCAGGACCUCCCAUCCACAGACUGGCCCGGAUUGUGUGAUACAGCCCAGCUCAAGCAACCCUGUCCAAAUGAGAACCAGAAUUAGCAGUUAGAUCGAUCAAAGCACAUCUUUCUCUCUGAGGGAAUUGAUUUUGGAAAUGCAGAGAAAAUGAGCCAGCUGGUAGCAGGACGAGAAUCAGGGAGAUAUACUCAGCAGAGGUGAGUGAAGAGCACAGGCACGGAGUCCCACCAAUGCUGGAGCUCCAGGACCAGUGGGUCUGAAUCCAGAUGCCUCUGCACACAGGCUGAUAGCAGACCCACACAGGUGGGUACCACAUGCUGCUCAAGGUGGAGGAUGUGGCUUGCUGCAUCUGAGGGUAUGUGUUGUCACAACAGUGUUCGUCGGACAGGCUGUUGAGAGGAGUGCUUCGUGGGUAACGGGAGAAUCCCAGACGGCACACUGAUUGGCAGAGGGAGGAGAUAAUGACAAGCACGUGUGCAGGAACGCGUGUUUCCCGGGAUGUGGGAAAACUCGGUCUUGGAGUAGAGAAGAGACCAUAGUCGGGGUCGCGACAGUUACCCUCAAAUGAAGACACGGGCUUGAAGAGCAAUCGAGUGAACGGCAUGAUAAGUAGGGAUGUCACUGUGUCCCUUCAAAGGCUCGCCAAAAAGUCUAGUAUGUGAAUGUGCGCCAUUGUAUUCCUCAGGACCCUUUUGGUUUCAAGUGACAGAAAUUCAACUCAAAUUAACUUACAAAGGAACUGGAUGGCUCAUGCAUUGGAAAAAUUAAGGGUAGAAGUGACUGCAGGGGUGGCUGGAUCCAAAUGUGCAGGAGCCUCAGGAAUUAGGAGUCUCCACGUCUUCCUCCACUUUCCUCCAGUUGGCUUUCUUCUUUGGUUGGCGGGCUCUUCCUGCGCUCAACAUGGCGGCCAACACUGGCUUCCUGUUUCAUGCUUGCCUCCUUCCAGCUUAGCAGCCGCAGCAGGAAAAGAGUGAUUCCCUAAGUGGGCAGUCCCAGGGAUGGCUCUCAUUGGGCCACCUUGGCACCUGGGUCCCUGAAGCAAUCACUGGGGCCAGGGAGAAGCAGCGAGCUGACUGGCCUGGCCUGGGUCACGUGCUCAGCCCUGGAUUAGGCGUGAUGUCGGCCCCACCAGAACCCAGGGCCUGACGGUAGGAAAUGGUCGCUACUGGAAGGAUGUUGAACAGGCGGUCACAACAGAUAUCCACCUCGGCCCCAAACAAAACAGUUGGGUCCAACCUCUCUGAGCAAUGAUCCUUGAAUCCUGACAUCUACUUCCUCUAGCUGCCUUGAGUGUGAAUAACUGUCUGCUCCCAAACUCCACGAGGCCCAACUAUGCUUUCAUGAGGGGUUUAUCAAUCGGGGUUCCUAUUGACAAACAACAAAACCCACUCUAGUUUGUUUACACAGAACAAGAAGGUCUUACAGCAUAUCAGUGGCUCCCAGAAGCUCUGGCAGAGUUAGGGAAUGGGGCUUGAGGCUCUGCAGCCAUGAACAAUACCCAGAUCCCCACUGGUCUGGCCACAGGCUUGAUCCCACUCUCUUUGCUCAUGAUACUGGGCGAUCUCUGCCCCUGCUGCCUCCAGGGCUCCGUGCCCCCUGCCAGGCUCUGCCCCCGUCACCGAGAUACAAUCCCAUGUGGCAGCCACUUCCUUGCUUUUCCCUCUUCCACAUUGAAGUUCCAUGUUUCUGCAUCCAGUUGGCAGAGCCUAGGUCACGUGCCCUGCAUCUUAGUUGCAGAGUUAGCCUGGGAGACUGAGUCCUGAUCUUCACUCUGCUGAGGCAAUGCCCCUAACACGGCAGAUUUUCCUAAGUUAGGAAGGCUAUUCAGAUGAUGCUGGGCGGGCACCGACACGACCCAUAUCCACUACACCGUGUUUCAAAGAGUCGGGUCUUCUGCAUCUUCUGGGGUCUAGAGAGAUCAUGCCAUGGGGCCAAGGCUCCUUAUUUCCACAUGUGGCCUCCCAAUCCAUCUGUGAGUCUCUGAUCUUUGCAAACCACGGAACCCAGUUCGCACACGUAAUCUGGCCAAUGUAAUGUGGAUAAAAUUUAGCUUGGGGGCAAUGUUUCCUUCAGCAAGACUGGCUCACAGAAGCUCCUGGAAUCUUCUCUAAGAGGAAAUUUUGAGGGUGCCUAUAAAGCAUGGCCAUGAGGAGCCCUCCCAGGAGUGCCAGCCCACAGGCAUUUCAUAGGCCUUGUGCAGAGCUCUCAAAUGCCCCACUGGGCUACUGUUUAACCACAGACCACCCCAAGCCAUCGACAAGAAGCUGGGUUGUCAGGCAGGGGCUCCCUGGCAAGGGUCUUCAUGGGCUGAUAAACUCCCUCCAGAGUCUGGAAUCCCAUCACAGCCCUUGCCAGGAGAUUAGAUGACCUGACCUCCCUCCUGUGGCUCCCCACUGCUGACGUCACUCAAUGAGGAAAUCGUUUUUGAGUAUCAACUACGUCCCAGGCAUUGUGCUAACACUGGAUGCGUUCCACCCCCAGGGAGCCUUCAGACAAGUCAACGAGCCAAAGCUUACAUGGAGCAGGGGAGGCCGGGAAGGGAAUGAAAACGUCCAAGCAUCGUUAUCCAGAAAGAGAGGCACAGUUUCCACUUUGAAGCAGACUUAUUGAUCAGGGUCACUAUGGGAGCCAAGGUCUCUGACCUCAUCCAGAAGUAUAGUCAUUAUAUUUUCCGAACACGCGGUCUAACAAAGAAAUGUCCCAGGCUGGAGGGUUCGUUUGUGUCAAAGUCUUCUAAAGGCCCUGAAGCCACAUACCCUGGACAGCUUAGGGAGAUGUGGGAAGACGGAAGAGCCAGCCUUGCCCAGAGGCGUUUCUGGACCACUCCAUGGGAGCUAAAUGGCGAAGAGAGCCCCUGGCGGCCCACAGUAGUAACUGCAGCGCCGGCCGCCUCUGGGAAGAUGGGGCUGUUCCUAG
Molecule: long non-coding RNA, 3837 nt
Filed under: Equus caballus (horse)
Lineage: Eukaryota; Metazoa; Chordata; Mammalia; Perissodactyla; Equidae
Description: lncRNA (ENSECAG00000049042.1)
Source: RNAcentral